RNAcentral lists this ribosomal RNA (827 nucleotides) under Bacillus velezensis. Its description in RNAcentral is "bacterial SSU rRNA". It matches the Rfam family "Bacterial small subunit ribosomal RNA", at positions 64 to 873 of the family's 1533-position model. Lineage: Bacteria; Bacillati; Bacillota; Bacilli; Caryophanales; Bacillaceae. The record is from RNAcentral.
GAGCGGACAGAUGGGAGCUUGCUCCCUGAUGUUAGCGGCGGACGGGUGAGUAACACGUGGGUAACCUGCCUGUAAGACUGGGAUAACUCCGGGAAACCGGGGCUAAUACCGGAUGGUUGUCUGAACCGCAUGGUUCAGACAUAAAAGGUGGCUUCGGCUACCACUUACAGAUGGACCCGCGGCGCAUUAGCUAGUUGGUGAGGUAACGGCUCACCAAGGCGACGAUGCGUAGCCGACCUGAGAGGGUGAUCGGCCACACUGGGACUGAGACACGGCCCAGACUCCUACGGGAGGCAGCAGUAGGGAAUCUUCCGCAAUGGACGAAAGUCUGACGGAGCAACGCCGCGUGAGUGAUGAAGGUUUUCGGAUCGUAAAGCUCUGUUGUUAGGGAAGAACAAGUGCCGUUCAAAUAGGGCGGCACCUUGACGGUACCUAACCAGAAAGCCACGGCUAACUACGUGCCAGCAGCCGCGGUAAUACGUAGGUGGCAAGCGUUGUCCGGAAUUAUUGGGCGUAAAGGGCUCGCAGGCGGUUUCUUAAGUCUGAUGUGAAAGCCCCCGGCUCAACCGGGGAGGGUCAUUGGAAACUGGGGAACUUGAGUGCAGAAGAGGAGAGUGGAAUUCCACGUGUAGCGGUGAAAUGCGUAGAGAUGUGGAGGAACACCAGUGGCGAAGGCGACUCUCUGGUCUGUAACUGACGCUGAGGAGCGAAAGCGUGGGGAGCGAACAGGAUUAGAUACCCUGGUAGUCCACGCCGUAAACGAUGAGUGCUAAGUGUUAGGGGGUUUCCGCCCCUUAGUGCUGCAGCUAACGCAUUAGCACUCCGCC